ACAUGCAAGUCGAGGGGCAGCAUGGUCUUAGCUGUGCUAAGGCUGAUGGCGACCGGCGCACGGGUGAGUAACACGUAUCCAACCUGCCGUCUACUCUUGGCCAGCCUUCUGAAAGGAAGAUUAAUCCAGGAUGGGAUCAUGAGUUCACAUGUCCGCAUGAUUAAAGGUAUUUUCCGGUAGACGAUGGGGAUGCGUUCCAUUAGAUAGUAGGCGGGGUAACGGCCCACCUAGUCAACGAUGGAUAGGGGUUCUGAGAGGAAGGUCCCCCACAUUGGAACUGAGACACGGUCCAAACUCCUACGGGAGGCAGCAGUGAGGAAUAUUGGUCAAUGGGCGAUGGCCUGAACCAGCCAAGUAGCGUGAAGGAUGACUGCCCUAUGGGUUGUAAACUUCUUUUAUAAAGGAAUAAAGUCGGGUAUGCAUACCCGUUUGCAUGUACUUUAUGAAUAAGGAUCGGCUAACUCCGUGCCAGCAGCCGCGGUAAUACGGAGGAUCCGAGCGUUAUCCGGAUUUAUUGGGUUUAAAGGGAGCGUAGAUGGAUGUUUAAGUCAGUUGUGAAAGUUUGCGGCUCAACCGUAAAAUUGCAGUUGAUACUGGAUGUCUUGAGUGCAGUUGAGGCAGGCGGAAUUCGUGGUGUAGCGGUGAAAUGCUUAGAUAUCACGAAGAACUCCGAUUGCGAAGGCAGCCUGCUAAGCUGCAACUGACAUUGAGGCUCGAAAGUGUGGGUAUCAAACAGGAUUAGAUACCCUGGUAGUCCACACGGUAAACGAUGAAUACUCGCUGUUUGCGAUAUACGGCAAGCGGCCAAGCGAAAGCGUUAAGUAUUCCACCUGGGGAGUACGCCGGCAACGGUGAAACUCAAAGGAAUUGACGGGGGCCCGCACAAGCGGAGGAACAUGUGGUUUAAUUCGAUGAUACGCGAGGAACCUUACCCGGGCUUAAAUUGCACUCGAAUGAUCC
RNAcentral lists this ribosomal RNA (960 nucleotides) under Phocaeicola dorei. Its description in RNAcentral is "bacterial SSU rRNA". It matches the Rfam family "Bacterial small subunit ribosomal RNA", at positions 53 to 1001 of the family's 1533-position model. The record is from RNAcentral. Lineage: Bacteria; Pseudomonadati; Bacteroidota; Bacteroidia; Bacteroidales; Bacteroidaceae.